AGUGAACGCUGGCGGUAGGCCUAACACAUGCAAGUCGAACGGCAGCACAGUAAGAGCUUGCUCUUACGGGUGGCGAGUGGCGGACGGGUGAGGAAUACAUCGGAAUCUACUUUUUCGUGGGGGAUAACGUAGGGAAACUUACGCUAAUACCGCAUACGACCUACGGGUGAAAGCAGGGGAUCUUCGGACCUUGCGCGAUUGAAUGAGCCGAUGUCGGAUUAGCUAGUUGGCGGGGUAAAGGCCCACCAAGGCGACGAUCCGUAGCUGGUCUGAGAGGAUGAUCAGCCACACUGGAACUGAGACACGGUCCAGACGCCUACGGGAGGCAGCAGUGGGGAAUAUUGGACAAUGGGCGCGAGCCUGAUCCAGCCAUACCGCGUGGGUGAAGAAGGCCUUCGGGGUGUAAAGCCCUUUUGUUGGGAAAGAAAAGCAGCAGGUUAAUACCCCGCUGUUCUGACGGUACCCAAAGAAUAAGCACCGGCUAACUUCGUG
Molecule: ribosomal RNA, 492 nt
Filed under: uncultured bacterium
Lineage: Bacteria
Description: partial 16S ribosomal RNA
Rfam family: Bacterial small subunit ribosomal RNA
Source: RNAcentral